UGGGGAAUUUUGGACAAUGGGCGAAAGCCUGAUCCAGCAAUGCCGCGUGUGUGAAGAAGGCCUUCGGGUUGUAAAGCACUUUUGUCCGGAAAGAAAUCCUUGGCUCUAAUACAGUCGGGGGAUGACGGUACCGGAAGAAUAAGCACCGGCUAACUACGUGCCAGCAGCCGCGGUAAUACGUAGGGUGCAAGCGUUAAUCGGAAUUACUGGGCGUAAAGCGUGCGCAGGCGGUUUGCUAAGACCGAUGUGAAAUCCCCGGGCUCAACCUGGGAACUGCAUUGGUGACUGGCAGGCUAGAGUAUGGCAGAGGGGGGUAGAAUUCCACGUGUAGCAGUGAAAAUGCGUAGAGAUGUGGAGGAAUACCGAUGGCGAAGGCAGCCCCCUGGGCCAAUACUGACGCUCAUGCACGAAAGCGUGGGGAGCAAACAGGAUUAGAUACCCUGGUAGUCCACGCCCUAAAACGAUGUCAACUAGUUGUUGGGGAUUCAUUUCCUUAGUAACGUAGCUAACGCGUGAAGUUGACCGCCUGGGGAGUACGGUCGCAAGAUU
RNAcentral lists this ribosomal RNA (549 nucleotides) under uncultured bacterium. Its description in RNAcentral is "partial 16S ribosomal RNA". It matches the Rfam family "Bacterial small subunit ribosomal RNA", at positions 355 to 895 of the family's 1533-position model. The record is from RNAcentral.